This 106-nucleotide small nucleolar RNA is filed under the name Triticum dicoccoides. RNAcentral describes it as "snoRNA snoZ279_R105_R108". It matches the Rfam family "Small nucleolar RNA Z279/snoR105/snoR108". From Rfam's summary of the family: This family includes the plant snoRNAs known as Z279, snoR105 and snoR108. All three are members of the C/D class of snoRNA which contain the C (UGAUGA) and D (CUGA) box motifs. The record is from RNAcentral. Lineage: Eukaryota; Viridiplantae; Streptophyta; Magnoliopsida; Poales; Poaceae.
GGGAAAUGAGGAGUGGUACAGGCUCGCUAAAUUAUGCGAGAGGGGUGCCCGCCCCAAUAAGCCUGUUACGACACUGGGGCAUCCCCGUAACUUACCAUCUGAUCCU